Molecule: long non-coding RNA, 1692 nt
Organism: Cloeon dipterum
Lineage: Eukaryota; Metazoa; Arthropoda; Insecta; Ephemeroptera; Baetidae
Exons: 4
Source: RefSeq, a predicted model, not a curated record
CAGGGGAGACCAACCCUAUGGUAAACCCCUGGGGGCCGAAGGGUCGACUUCUUCAGUGGCGGCCUCAAAUCCGGCACCUGAAGAUCGGCGAGUUCUCUAUAGAACGGCGCUGUCUAGCGCCCCUAGGAGGCCGGCAACAGCUAUCCGCCCUGCCUCAGGACCUUCAGGGCUCGCCCCUAGGAAGGCCUAGGGACGAGAGGAAACCGAGAGGUGAAGUUUCUUUUGUUUUUGUUCUCCGCAGAGUGGAGUAAAAAUUCAUUUAUCCAGCCGCGAAAAAGAGAUAUGACGCGCCGGAAGAAGAAAAACCCGCGAUCCCCGGCCGAGCUCCUAGCUGCCAGGGGAGAAAUUGGUCCGGGUGGUGAAAAAUAGUAACCACCCACGGCCAUAAAUCAAACCAAAAAUGGCAGCUUAGGAGCUAGUCGGGGUUGAGCGAGGUCAGUUAAAAGACAAGACGCCGCUUAUUAAGUUGUUAUAAAUUGCAGAAAAACGAGAUACACACAAUUAAAAAUUAUAAUAAUAAACGAAUUGGCAUAAGGAGCAUUUAUUUUCGGUAAAGAAGGUUCGAGAAACAUAAAUCCGAAUAUUUAAGUAGAAAGGCACGCGAUUGGUAUGCAGAAUUGUAGAGAAACGCGACAAAUCCUGCACGCGCCCGCAGCCCUUGGUUCUUCUCUCUCUCUCUGCGCCCGAAGAAGGAGGAGCCAAGGGAGCUGAUCGGGCUAUAAAAAGGCGCCGGGCCAGAGCAGAGAGAAGCAGUCAGGUACCUUACUCCAAAAGGGAAGAAGGAGACCUCACCUGAGCCAAGCUGAGCCGGCGCCCGAGCUAGCGGAAAGCACGGCUGAGUGUUCGGUCGCUUGGCGGACGCGCAUGCACGCUGACGAGUACGUCCGAGCUGCACGCCGCUAUUGCCACCGACACACGCUUCGAGCAGCGUACCGCCGCCAACUAGCGGCUCUCUGCCGCUUGCGCGCCGACGUGGAGAUAGGUUGCCGAAACGCCGCCGACAGGUGACGAAUCGGCCGCCGAUAGGGCUGCCGAUAACCGAUCGUUUGCCGACGGCGCCGACUCAGCGUUGCCGGCGGAGCCGACUGGCCGCCGAAACGCCGACCAGGGACGACUCGGCCGCCGACAAGAUCCGAAACUGAUCGGCCGCCGACUCAGCGCCGACGACUAGAGUCGGGUCAGCUACCGUAGGCGCCAGGCCCCGACCGUGAGAUACUCACGCCGGGACACGAUCAACACGCCGUCCAGCGCCGAAGAGCGUCGCUUCCCAGCCUCACCUGCCACGGGAGUUGCCAGGCCGGCCCUAGCUUAGUUCAGGCCGCGGAUGCAGACGGAGCUCCCCUACGAACGACUCGACUCGCCCGGUCUUCAAGUAGGUCUUCACCGGAACGUCGAGCCGAGGCUAGCACCAUCUGCCCGCUUGGGAAUUGACCUCUACUGACCAAAGGGGAAGCAGACGGUCACCGGACGGAGGUAGCGGCGCCCGCCUGGCAUCGGACGGACGCGCCUACUGCCGGAGAACGAGGCUGCUGAGCGCUCCUGCCUGGACCCAGACGCCCGCUUAUCAGCGUACCAGUUACUCGUCACCGACCGACCAACGGCUCCGAAUCGGCGAGAUAUCCACGGAAAUUCACGAAUCGUUCUGUGAACUUGAGGAUAGAAAUAAAUGUUCCUGAUAGUGCCAAUGAAAAA